This 842-nucleotide ribosomal RNA is filed under the name Staphylococcus sp. RNAcentral describes it as "bacterial SSU rRNA". It matches the Rfam family "Bacterial small subunit ribosomal RNA", at positions 34 to 875 of the family's 1533-position model. Lineage: Bacteria; Bacillati; Bacillota; Bacilli; Caryophanales; Staphylococcaceae. The record is from RNAcentral.
CGGUUGUGGAAUCUCAAGCACAUGGAGCUGUGCCCCUUUGACGUUGUUCGGCGGACGGGUGAGUAACACGUGGGUGACCUACCUAUUAGACAGGGAUAACUUCGGGAAACCGGAUCUCAUACCGGAGAACAUUUGGAACCGCACGGUUCUAAAGUGAAAGAUGGUUUUGCUAUCAUUUAUUGAUGGACCCGCGCCGUAGUAGCUACUUGGUAAGGUAACGGCGUACCAAGGCGACGAUACGUAGCCGACCUGAUAGGGUGAUCGGCCACACUGGAACUGAUACACGGUCCAGACUCCUACGGGAGGCAGCAGUAGGGAAUCUUCCGCAAUGGGCGAAAGCCUGACGGAGCAACGCCGCGUGAGUGAUGAAGGGUUUCGGCUCAUAAAACUCUGUUAUUACGGAAGAACAAAUGCGUAAGUAACUGUGCACAUCUUGACGGUACCUAAUCAGAAAGCCACGGCUAACUACUUGCCACCAGCCGCGGUAAUACGUAGGUGGCAAGCGUUAUCCGGAAUUAUUGGGCGUAAAGCGCGCGUAGGCGGUUUCUUAAGUCUGAUGUGAAAGCCCACGGCUCAACCGUGGAGGGUCAUUGGAAACUGGGAAACUUGAGUGCAGAAAAGGAAAGUGUAAUUCCAUGUGUAGCGGUGAAAUGCGCAUAGAUAUGGAGGAACACCACUGGCGAAGGCGACUUUCUGGUCUGUAACUGACGCUGAUGUGCGAAAACGUGGGGAUCAAACAAGAUUAUAUACCCUGGUAGUCCACGCCCUAAACAAUGAGUGCUGAGUGUUAGGGGGUUUCCGCCCCCUUAUUGCUGCAGCUAACGCAUGUAACACUCCGCCUG